RNAcentral lists this non-coding RNA (752 nucleotides) under Trichomonas vaginalis G3. Its description in RNAcentral is "Eukaryotic small subunit ribosomal RNA". It matches the Rfam family "Eukaryotic small subunit ribosomal RNA", at positions 1 to 939 of the family's 1831-position model. Lineage: Eukaryota; Parabasalia; Trichomonadida; Trichomonadidae. The record is from Rfam by way of RNAcentral.
UACUUGGUUGAUCCUGCCAAGGAAGCACACUUAGGUCAUAGAUUAAGCCAUGCAAGUGUUAGUUCAGGUAACGAAACUGCGAAUAGCUCAUUAAUACGCUCAGAAUCUAUUUGGCGGCGACCAACAGGUCUUAAAUGGAUAGCAGCAGCAACUCUGGUGCUAAUACAUGCGAUUGUUUCUCCAGAUGUGAAUUAUGGAGGAAAAGUUGACCUCAUCAGAGGCACGCCAUUCGACUGAGUGACCUAUCAGCUUGUACUUAGGGUCUUUACCUAGGUAGGCUAUCACGGGUAACGGGCGGUUACCGUCGGACUGCCGGAGAAGGCGCCUGAGAGAUAGCGACUAUAUCCACGGGUAGCAGCAGGCGCGAAACUUUCCCACUCGAGACUUUCGGAGGAGGUAAUGACCAGUUCCAUUGGUGCCUUUUGGUACUGUGGAUAGGGGUACGGUUUUCCACCGUACCGAAACCUAGCAGAGGGCCAGUCUGGUGCCAGCAGCUGCGGUAAUUCCAGCUCUGCGAGUUUGCUCCCAUAUUGUUGCAGUUAAAACGCCCGUAGUCUGAAUUGGCCAGCAAUGGUCGUACGUAUUUUUACGUUCACUGUGAACAAAUCAGGACGCUUAGAGUAUGGCCACAUGAAUGACUCAGCGCAGUAUGAAGUCUUUGUUUUCUUCCGGAAAACAAGCUCAAUGAGAGCCAUCGGGGGUAGAUCUAUCUCAUGACGAGUGGUGGAAUACUUUGACUCAUGAGAGAGAAG